GGCUGGCUCCUCCGGGCUCCUUCCUUCCUUCCUUCCCCCGCGGCGGGAGCGAGUGAGUGACACGCGGGUCCCGGCUGCCCCCAGCGCCGUAGUAGAUGCAGGGAUGUCUGCGGUACGAGGCUGCUCCGCUCCCCGGCAAGAACAUCUAACGGAAAUUAACAUCUAGUGAAAUGAGAACAUAGCAUUCAUGAAGCAGGCUUGGCAUUUGGGGGAUCAAUCCCUUAGUGAGCAGUGGCAUGAUGUUACUAGCUGAUGACUGUCUUCUGUGAGAUGAACAGAUGGUCUUAUUCAGCUCUUGAUGGAAAAGUAUCCACCUAACACAACUUGCACUGUUGGCAUCCUCAGCAAAGGCCAAGGAAUUAACGGAAACUAAACUAUGUUUUCAUCCCUCCAUAACAGAAUUAAAGCAUGUUG
This is a long non-coding RNA of Alligator sinensis (Chinese alligator), 414 nucleotides long. RefSeq lists it as uncharacterized. The record is from RefSeq and is a predicted model, not a curated record. The transcript is spliced from 3 exons. NCBI's taxonomy places the organism in Eukaryota, Metazoa, Chordata, Crocodylia, Alligatoridae.